Molecule: ribosomal RNA, 594 nt
Filed under: Colletotrichum gloeosporioides
Lineage: Eukaryota; Fungi; Ascomycota; Sordariomycetes; Glomerellales; Glomerellaceae
Description: eukaryotic LSU rRNA
Rfam family: 5.8S ribosomal RNA (bases 231-384)
Source: RNAcentral
UAGAUAAGGAAAAAAGCGUAACAAGGUCUCCGUUGGUGAACCAGCGGAGGNAUCAUUACUGAGUUUACGCUCUACAACCCUUUGUGAACAUACCUAUAACUGUUGCUUCGGCGGGUAGGGUCUCCGCGACCCUCCCGGCCUCCCGCCUCCGGGCGGGUCGGCGCCCGCCGGAGGAUAACCAAACUCUGAUUUAACGACGUUUCUUCUGAGUGGUACAAGCAAAUAAUCAAAACUUUUAACAACGGAUCUCUUGGUUCUGGCAUCGAUGAAGAACGCAGCGAAAUGCGAUAAGUAAUGUGAAUUGCAGAAUUCAGUGAAUCAUCGAAUCUUUGAACGCACAUUGCGCCCGCCAGCAUUCUGGCGGGCAUGCCUGUUCGAGCGUCAUUUCAACCCUCAAGCUCUGCUUGGUGUUGGGGCCCUACAGCCGAUGUAGGCCCUCAAAGGUAGUGGCGGACCCUCCCGGAGCCUCCUUUGCGUAGUAACUUUACGUCUCGCACUGGGAUCCGGAGGGACUCUUGCCGUAAAACCCCCCAAUUUUCCAAAGGUUGACCUCGGAUCAGGUAGGAAUACCCGCUGAACUUAAGCAUAUCAAAA